UGAACUCAAUUGGCAGGUGACGGUAAGAAAAAGACUACCAUCUGCCCCUAUCAUAACCCCUUGAACCAUCAUGCAAGCCCUCUAGCUCUACAACAAGAAGGAAGCAAGGAAUUAGAAGAGUGGCAGAGCCAACUAUGCCUUUAAUGACCCUUCAUUCCAUCCCCCCUUGUUCUUUGCUAGCAUGCCCACCUGCUUACCCACGAACUUAUCAUCAUAUCCGAGAUGGGAAGCAGCUAAAACCCCGAGUCUCAGCAAUGCUCUGUAUAGCCAAAUAUCGAUGGAGCAGAUAACCGCGAGACCAUAGAUUUCAAGAAGCUUAGUCUCUCGCACGCAUUUUGUCGAACGGCUGCCGUGCUCAAUUAUUCCACCACUCCUUUCUUCUCCUUCUCUCCAUCCCGAGGACGCACACGGAGGACGGCGACAAUUGCAGAGGAGUUCACCGGAGAUCCGGCACGGUCGCUAGAAGUUGAUGCUGGCUGCAAUUAUCCACUGACGACUUCCAUUCCCACCGUAUCCCGGAUUCGAUGUCAACCUCCUGUCCCUCUCGCAUGGAGAAACCCAACGCUGUUCCGAAGCCGAACGAUCCCACUGCUCCAACAAACCCGGGAGGAAACACGGCCCGCGCCGCCGCCACCGCUGCCCGAGGCAGCAAGAAGAGAAAGCACGAGGAUGCCGAGUUCGCCAUUCCAACUACUUCGACAUGCGAUCUAUCGUCAAAGGCCGAGGUUCCAUGUGCUCCUGACUUUUCAAUUGCAAUGCAGCCAAUAAAAUUAGAAAAAUAUGGCAGAUGACUAGGAACUGCAUGGGGCGGCACUGUUUUUUGAUGGCGUUGCUUUGCCAAGCUACAGUUUUGCAUCCUAAUCCUCUUUUAAUCAAAAUUUUCCUGCCACUUACUAAAAGGAAAAUAAGAAAAGUAGAAAACACUUUGUUAAAUAUAACAAGUUGCCUCCUAUUCUGAUUUGUCAUAAAACUUUUGUCUUUGUGGUUCUUCAAUUUCUAAUUUCUUCUGAAGUUCUUGCAAAAAUUUGAUAUAUAGUCUUCUACUAAGAAAUUGCAAUAUUCAAGACAGCAAGUUGCUUCGAAAAAAAAAUGUAACAGAUCAAGAGCAGGAAGCAACGUGCUGUUUUGGUAAAAAUCUUCUACAGUUUUUCCUCUCCGAGUUGUUUCCCAUUCUAGUGUCUCCUGAUCUUCUUGCAGAAACUUGAUAUACUCUCUUUCUUCUUUCUUCAUAACCUGUAUAGCCCUUUUAUGCUGCCAGUAGUACUACUUGCUAACAUCAAGUCAGCGCCGCAUCACCGGUGCAACACUGCCUCACUGUCAAUUGUGGUCAGCAUGUCGAUCAUUAGAAACUUUUGCCACAUUGGUUUCAUGCAACUCUGUCGACUCUAUCAUCAUAUCUUAGUUCCAUGUCGAUGCAACCAACACACCUUAUCCUCAUGCCUAGUUACGCAUAGAUGGAGGUCAUUGUAGAGUUAAUGAACUGACAGAUGAGACAGCAUGUCCUGGGAAGCUCAAGUCCUUUAAUGUGGAACAACUGUAUUUGUCUGGGGCAAGUGAGAAGCAACCUCACCCGAAACCUCACAAGGAAAAAAACUCUUCAGCUUGGGCAAGUGAGAAGAAACAUCAGGAGAAGCUCCAAGAGGGAGCAUCAGAAAAACCUCAGGAACAACAGUCUUUGG
Elaeis guineensis (African oil palm) is the source of this 1679-nucleotide non-coding RNA. Lineage: Eukaryota; Viridiplantae; Streptophyta; Magnoliopsida; Arecales; Arecaceae. The record is from RefSeq and is a predicted model, not a curated record.